RNAcentral lists this transfer RNA (72 nucleotides) under Ornithorhynchus anatinus (platypus). It matches the Rfam family "tRNA". Rfam says of the family: Transfer RNA (tRNA) molecules are approximately 80 nucleotides in length. Their secondary structure includes four short double-helical elements and three loops (D, anti-codon, and T loops). Further hydrogen bonds mediate the characteristic L-shaped molecular structure. tRNAs have two regions of fundamental functional importance: the anti-codon, which is responsible for specific mRNA codon recognition, and the 3' end, to which the tRNAs corresponding amino acid is attached (by aminoacyl-tRNA synthetases). tRNAs cope with the degeneracy of the genetic code in two manners: having more than one tRNA (with a specific anti-codon) for a particular amino acid; and 'wobble' base-pairing, i.e. permitting non-standard base-pairing at the 3rd anti-codon position. Lineage: Eukaryota; Metazoa; Chordata; Mammalia; Monotremata; Ornithorhynchidae. The record is from Rfam by way of RNAcentral.
AGCAGUAUGGCCUAGUGGGUAAAGUAUGGGCUUGGAAGUCAGAGAACCUGGGUUCUAAUCCUGGUUCUGCCA